This is a long non-coding RNA of Oncorhynchus masou masou (cherry salmon), 583 nucleotides long. RefSeq lists it as uncharacterized. Lineage: Eukaryota; Metazoa; Chordata; Actinopteri; Salmoniformes; Salmonidae. The transcript is spliced from 5 exons. The record is from RefSeq and is a predicted model, not a curated record.
AACGUAUCUAGUGUAGAGAAUAUGUGGCGGGCUGAAUUAUUAUUAUUAUUUUUUUUUUUUGGGGGGGGGACUAUCUGCACAAACUCAUAGCAAAAUGCUUAAAAGACACUACGAACUCCAGUGUUAACCAGCCACCAUGAGUGUAAAUUGUCUGCCAACCUGGGUGUGAUCCCAUAAAUGUUCCAAUGAAGUCACUCCCAUGUGAGCAGUGCCGGUGGGUCAAGAGGACAGUUAAUUGGUCUGCAAACCUGGAUGUGAACCCCUGAAAAUACAGCAAGUAAUGCCAUUGGGAUCAGGUAAUGGGGCCAAAGACGUUGUGCCAAGGACCGGACUCAAGAACUGAAAUUCACCAAAUGAAUGAUCAGUGACUGACUAAAAAACUAGUUCAAUGCAAACAUUAGAAAAUGUCAAGUUUAAUGGUGUACUUAAAACCAGGAAGUCACAGGGUUCUAAGCCCCACAGUUAAUCAGUGUGAAAGGCUCUUUCUUGAGUGUGUCCAGGAAGAACUGCUUGUCCUGCAGAAAGUCACGAUCCUAAGAAGAUAAAACCAGUACAUGUAUCUACAAUAAAGAUUUGAAACCAA